AAAAGCAGGAACAGAGUUAUAAAAAAUAAUUUUUUGGAAAAUUAUAGGUUUCAGAAGAAUCAAUUUCAUGGCCCAAAGUACAUAAAAUUCUAUGUGCUGACGUAGCAGAAAAGAAGGGAAAGUGUAAAACGGCAACAAAAUAUCCUGAGAAAGAAUCUUCACUUUCAGUACCAAGGAGUUAGGGUUCUGAGGGAAGAGGACAACUGUGUGCUGAAGAAAUUAGAGGGGCCUCAUAUUUCUCCCACCUCACUAACAUGGUCAGGCAUCAACAGAGGAGCUGUAUGGUAAGACACCUUACCCAGAUCUCUGUAUUCCAACAGAAUGUACGAGUGUCUAGGAACUGAUGAAUUAUCUUAAAUCUUGAGGGAAAAAAAUAUGCUUUUAAUCUCACUGCAUCAUGAGGAGAUGUAUAUUAAAAACAAUGAAGUGGGGAUACAUUCAAAUAACACACUAAAUGACAACUCAGAAAGGUAAACAAAUCUGAGGCUCACGUAAGAUGUCUGUGUAAACAAAAGCAGAAUGGAUAUCUCUUCUUAACGCCAUAAAAUUGCAUAACUAACUUUAAACUUAGAAGCUCUUCCAUUGUGUGCCUGCGUGUGAGAGAAAGUGUGAGAUAAAGGGAGAAAGGUCAGAAAAGAGAAGGCAGGAGAAACACAGUGUUGACCUGACACACCUUCAUUUCAAAGUCUAAAUCUGUUAGCUUUCUUUUCUUUCAAUGGUCCAUGAUAUUAAUAAAAGUAGAUAAAGUACUGUUUGGUCCUCCAGACUUUAAUGUUUAUAUAUGUCAUCAUUCGCAGAAUGUCAUCACCAGGGAGCUAUGCUAUUGGUGUGAGGAAGACUGGAGAAGCAGGAGGUACUUGAAUCAGAGAAGGAAAGGACUAAACGAACAAAUUGUCAACUUGGAUCAAAAUUGGUGUCUAAGAUGUUCUGCAGCGUCCUUCUGUGCUGGUUAUUGACGCUCUGCUGCUUCCAAAGAUUCUUAUGACUUGCACCACAAGAUAUCUAUGCAAAAGAGAGGCAGGAGUGAAGACUGACUCACGUUUCUAAAAGGGAAGAUGUUAUGGAGGUCAGAAGUCAGAAAUGGGUCUCACUGGGCUAAAAUCAAGGGACAUCAUUGGUGCUCUUACUACUCUCCAACCAAGAUUACAACAUGCCAAUGCUUCUGGAAAAUAAACGGUAUCAGAGAUUUCUAAUCCAGAGUCUGGUUAUUACUAUUACCUGUCUGGAUAUUGGUUUUGUCAUUUCAAUUGCUACUGCCAGAGGGCUAUAGUGCAUUUUUAUGAAUUGUAGCUGAGCAUAUCAAUUUUUUUCCCUGAUGGAAAUAUCCAAGAAGUCAGAUGAGAUCAUAAUUCAAAUUCUGUAAAUGUUUGUUUUAAAAAAUCUGUUAUAAGAAUUCUACCAUUUAUUAUAUAAACAGUGAUUUAUAAGAUCAUUACAUCAAAGAUUACAGUUUUAAAUAAAACUGAAGAAAUAAAAUUGCCUUCCUGCUUUGCCACUUUCUCUCAUGUUAUCAGAUAUUUACUAUCUAAUUAAUUCCAUAUUAGGUAGUAUUAUUUUUCUUUGUCACUCAAGUAGAGACAUUGAUUUGAAUCCUUUCUCAGAUAUAUAUUGAUUUGAAUUAUUUCUCCAAAUAAAUUGUUAUCUGCAUGACAUUAAGCAAAAGGUUUAGGGUCUGCAGGAACCUAGGAAGCAGAGACCAGCCUAUGUUUGUAUAAAUCCCUGCCUGUCUGUGAAUUACUUACUAAACGUGGGGCCAAGUAAUAUUUCACACUGCUGCUCUUGCCAUCUGAAAGGGAGACACCCACAUUUUCCUAAAAGUUCAGAGCAUCACAUCUGGCUUAGCACUCUGAGUGCUGGGGUGUCUGUCACAGACAGUGCUGACUGGAUUCCCUACUUGUGUUAUGAGACAAACACAUUUAUGACUCAAUCCAUCUACUAUGUUAAUGGACCCUUCAAGAAAUCUGGGGUCUGAUGUAAUAUCUAAUAAAAAGAACAAUAACAUAGCUCAGGGACUAUUCCUAGUUUUUUUCUAGGAAAAGCAAAAUAAGCAUGAUGUCUGACCAGAGGAUCUUUAACCCAGGAACACAAAUCAUGGAAUACCUUACUUAAGACCAACAGAAAAAGGGUUCAGUCAUGUUAUGCCAUCUAAUCUCCACUGGCAAAAAAGUUGUGCUGAUGUCUUGAAUUUUCUUGAGUCUACGUCAAGUUUCUCAAAUGCCCUUAGCUUCUAUGCUUCUGUAUAUGAAAUAGACUAAUGCCAACCUCAUGCAGUUAUUUUGAAAAGUAAAUGAAAUAAUAAUGUAGAUAAAACCCUUAGUAGAUUACUUGGCAUACGGUAACUCCUCAAUAAAUAGUAACCACAAUGAU
Long non-coding RNA from Diceros bicornis minor, 2367 nucleotides. RefSeq lists it as uncharacterized. Lineage: Eukaryota; Metazoa; Chordata; Mammalia; Perissodactyla; Rhinocerotidae. The record is from RefSeq and is a predicted model, not a curated record. The transcript is spliced from 5 exons.